Molecule: ribosomal RNA, 542 nt
Filed under: uncultured Ascomycota
Lineage: Eukaryota; Fungi; Ascomycota
Description: SSU rRNA
Rfam family: Eukaryotic small subunit ribosomal RNA
Source: RNAcentral
GGAGGGCAAGUCUGGUGCCAGCAGCCGCGGUAAUUCCAGCUCCAAUAGCGUAUAUUAAAGUUGUUGUGGUUAAAAAGCUCGUAGUUGAACCUUGGGCCUGGCUGGCCGGUCCGCCUCACCGCGUGUACUGGUCCGGCCGGGCCUUUCCCCCUGUGGAACCCCAUGCCCUUCACUGGGCGUGGCGGGAAAACAGGACUUUUACUGUGAAAAAAUUAGAGUGCUCCAGGCAGGCCUAUGCUCGAAUACAUUAGCAUGGAAUAAUAGAAUAGGACGUGUGGUUCUAUUUUGUUGGUUUCUAGGACCGCCGUAAUGAUUAAUAGGGACAGUCGGGGGCAUCAGUAUUCAAUUGUCAGAGGUGAAAUUCUUGGAUUUAUUGAAGACUAACUACUGCGAAAGCAUUUGCCAAGGAUGUUUUCAUUAAUCAGGAACGAAAGUUAGGGGAUCGAAGACGAUCAGAUACCGUCGUAGUCUUAACCAUAAACUAUGCCGACUAGGGAUCGGACGAUGUUAUUUUUUGACUCGUUCGGCACCUUACGGGAAAC